RNAcentral lists this long non-coding RNA (1275 nucleotides) under Citrus x clementina. RNAcentral's name for it is "Citrus clementina (C. clementina) long non-coding RNA (CCLE_LNC000054)". Lineage: Eukaryota; Viridiplantae; Streptophyta; Magnoliopsida; Sapindales; Rutaceae. The record is from RNAcentral.
UUUCUCAGUCGGCAGAAGUGAUCCCAAGCAGUACCGACCGCCAUCAAGAGUUCUUAUAGUUUUUUGGGAAAAUAUUCCAAAAUUGGCCCAAAAAACUAGUUUUUCUUUUAAUUUUGGAAACAAUUCUGUCAAAACUACUCCGAGACUCUAAAUGCACUUUUGUUUUUUUCUAAUGGCAUCGUGUCACCUGUGGGAAGGUGCAUGCAAAAGUCUGGAUCAAAAUUUCAAGGCAGCCCCAAGAAGGCCCAUGAAAAACGCCAAAAUCGGUGUGCUAUAGCCUUUAACUUUAGGGCUUGAGUAGAGAAGUUUAGUUUUUUCUCCAAAAGUAACCCGGUUUUUCUCCCCUAGGACAUUCCUUGGGUCGGUGCGAGUGCUCUCAAUUAGUGUCCCCGUUAGGAGGCUCUCGUAGUUUUUUAAGAAUUUAUUCAAAAAAAUAGGCUGAAAAAACUAAUUUUCUUUCAAUUUUGAAAAACAAAUUCACCAAAACUACUUUGUGCCUCAAAUAUCCAUAUUUAGAGUAGUAAAUGUAAAUGAAUUGAUCAAUACAGCAGAUUGUAUACUGUCUAAUAAAACCUACUUCUAGUUGUGUGGUAGGAAUAUUAUGGCAAGAUCGUGGAGAAUGACAUAUCAUACAUGUUUGACAAUUGUGCAAUAGCUACCUAACACCACCACGCAACAUGUAAGUAAAAUACAGUAUCUAUGGAUUUUCGAUCGGGGCAUGAGCAUUGGGCAUGCAACUUCUGGAUUUCUUCUUCGCUUGGUUGGGACCCCGCUGGUUAGGUUUCAAAAUGUGGUUAUUGUUGCUUUUAGUAGCUAGACUUGGCCACAGGUAAUGAUAUAUGGACAUUGUGAGCUGGCUGAAAUUGACUACUCAAGAGUCACACGCACAAACAUACAUAUGAUAUACACACGCACAGAGCAGCACUAUCAAUCGAUUAUUUCAUUUAUUAUUUGCUUUAAUUUAUUCAUUUGAGCCUUGUUAUUAGCUAGGUUUUGGGAAUUAUUUAAUUUACUUUAUGAUUGGAUAUGACUCUGCGUAUGAAAAAGAAAAAAUAUUGCAAGUGUGAUGGAGCGAGGUAGAGGAAGCGGAAUGAUAGGUUAGAUAUACCUUAGAUAUCGUUUUAAUACUAGAUCAAGCUAAUAGAUUAGAUUACGCUCUAAUCAAAGUAUAAUCACUCUAAUCGAAAUGGCUCAGUGAGAUUUUAACUACACUUUAGGUGAGAUUAAAUGACACUCUAAUUCAAAUCAUUUUACAAAAGAGAUUUUUAUAGUAAU